Molecule: ribosomal RNA, 287 nt
Filed under: uncultured Bacteroidota bacterium
Lineage: Bacteria; Pseudomonadati; Bacteroidota
Description: uncultured Bacteroidetes bacterium partial 16S ribosomal RNA
Rfam family: Bacterial small subunit ribosomal RNA
Source: RNAcentral
AAGUCGUGGGGCAGCAUGGGGGUUGCUUGCAACCCCUGAUGGCGACCGGCGCACGGGUGAGUAACGCGUAUGCAACCUGCCUGAUACCGGGGUAUAGCCCAUGGAAACGUGGAUUAACACCCCAUAGUACUUUUAUCCUGCCUGGGAUGGGAGUUAAAUGUUCAAGGUAUCGGAUGGGCAUGCGUCCUAUUAGUUAGUUGGCGGGGUAACAGCCCACCAAGACGAUGAUAGGUAGGGGUUCUGAGAGGAAGGUCCCCACAUUGGAACUGAGACACGGUCCAAACUCC